GCCGGAGUGGCGGAAUGGCUUACGCACCGCACUCAAAAUGCGGCGAGGGAAACCUCAUGCGGGUUCGACUCCCGCCUCCGGCA
Molecule: transfer RNA, 83 nt
Filed under: Chloroflexota bacterium
Lineage: Bacteria; Bacillati; Chloroflexota
Description: tRNA-Leu
Rfam family: tRNA
About the family: Transfer RNA (tRNA) molecules are approximately 80 nucleotides in length.
Source: RNAcentral